This 1550-nucleotide ribosomal RNA is filed under the name Klebsiella pneumoniae. Its description in RNAcentral is "bacterial SSU rRNA". It matches the Rfam family "Bacterial small subunit ribosomal RNA". The record is from RNAcentral. Lineage: Bacteria; Pseudomonadati; Pseudomonadota; Gammaproteobacteria; Enterobacterales; Enterobacteriaceae.
AAAUUGAAGAGUUUGAUCAUGGCUCAGAUUGAACGCUGGCGGCAGGCCUAACACAUGCAAGUCGAGCGGUAGCACAGAGAGCUUGCUCUCGGGUGACGAGCGGCGGACGGGUGAGUAAUGUCUGGGAAGCUGCCUGAUGGAGGGGGAUAACUACUGGAAACGGUAGCUAAUACCGCAUAACGUCGCAAGACCAAAGUGGGGGACCUUCGGGCCUCAUGCCAUCAGAUGUGCCCAGAUGGGAUUAGCUAGUAGGUGGGGUAAUGGCUCACCUAGGCGACGAUCCCUAGCUGGUCUGAGAGGAUGACCAGCCACACUGGAACUGAGACACGGUCCAGACUCCUACGGGAGGCAGCAGUGGGGAAUAUUGCACAAUGGGCGCAAGCCUGAUGCAGCCAUGCCGCGUGUGUGAAGAAGGCCUUCGGGUUGUAAAGCACUUUCAGCGAGGAGGAAGGCGGUGAGGUUAAUAACCUCAUCGAUUGACGUUACCCGCAGAAGAAGCACCGGCUAACUCCGUGCCAGCAGCCGCGGUAAUACGGAGGGUGCAAGCGUUAAUCGGAAUUACUGGGCGUAAAGCGCACGCAGGCGGUCUGUCAAGUCGGAUGUGAAAUCCCCGGGCUCAACCUGGGAACUGCAUUCGAAACUGGCAGGCUAGAGUCUUGUAGAGGGGGGUAGAAUUCCAGGUGUAGCGGUGAAAUGCGUAGAGAUCUGGAGGAAUACCGGUGGCGAAGGCGGCCCCCUGGACAAAGACUGACGCUCAGGUGCGAAAGCGUGGGGAGCAAACAGGAUUAGAUACCCUGGUAGUCCACGCCGUAAACGAUGUCGAUUUGGAGGUUGUGCCCUUGAGGCGUGGCUUCCGGAGCUAACGCGUUAAAUCGACCGCCUGGGGAGUACGGCCGCAAGGUUAAAACUCAAAUGAAUUGACGGGGGCCCGCACAAGCGGUGGAGCAUGUGGUUUAAUUCGAUGCAACGCGAAGAACCUUACCUGGUCUUGACAUCCACAGAACUUUCCAGAGAUGGAUUGGUGCCUUCGGGAACUGUGAGACAGGUGCUGCAUGGCUGUCGUCAGCUCGUGUUGUGAAAUGUUGGGUUAAGUCCCGCAACGAGCGCAACCCUUAUCCUUUGUUGCCAGCGGUCCGGCCGGGAACUCAAAGGAGACUGCCAGUGAUAAACUGGAGGAAGGUGGGGAUGACGUCAAGUCAUCAUGGCCCUUACGACCAGGGCUACACACGUGCUACAAUGGCAUAUACAAAGAGAAGCGACCUCGCGAGAGCAAGCGGACCUCAUAAAGUAUGUCGUAGUCCGGAUUGGAGUCUGCAACUCGACUCCAUGAAGUCGGAAUCGCUAGUAAUCGUAGAUCAGAAUGCUACGGUGAAUACGUUCCCGGGCCUUGUACACACCGCCCGUCACACCAUGGGAGUGGGUUGCAAAAGAAGUAGGUAGCUUAACCUUCGGGAGGGCGCUUACCACUUUGUGAUUCAUGACUGGGGUGAAGUCGUAACAAGGUAACCGUAGGGGAACCUGCGGUUGGAUCACCUCCUUACCUUAAAGAA